UAUGCCAUUAUACUUUAUAUAUAUAAUAAAUAAAAAUUUAAAUAAAUAAAAAUCAAAAAAAUAAAAAAUAAUUUUUAAAUUUUUUUUCGAAUUAUACUAUUUCGAAAUUCAAACCCUGAACCCUACAACUCAACUCUAAACCCUAAACCACCUAUCAUAAACUCUAUUUUUUUGAAAUACAAACCCUAAACCAACUCUAAACCCUAAACCCUAAACCUUCAACUCUAAACCCUAAAACAUCAACUAUAAACCCUAACCUUCAACUCUAAACCUUAAACCAUCAACACUCUAAAAUAUCAACACUAAACCCUAAACCUUAAAAAGUAAACUCUAAACCCUAAACUCUAAAAAAUUAACCCUAAACCCCGAAACAUCAACUCUAAACCCUAAACCCUAAAAUGUAAACUCUAAACCCUAAACCCUUAAAAAUUAACCCUAAACCCUGAAACAUCAACUCUAAACCAUAAACCUUCAACUAUAAACCUUAAAACAUCAACUAUAAACCCUAAACCCUAAACUUCAACUCUAAACCCUAAACUAUCAACUCUAAACCCUAAACCCUAAAAAGUAAACUUUAAACCCUAAAAAAUUAACCCUAAACCCUGAAACAUCAACUCUAAACCCUAAACCUUCAACUCUAAACCAUAAACCUUAAAUCCUAAACCCUAAAACCCUAGAGGUGAUGUUUUAGGGUUUAGAGUUGAAGGUUUAGGGUUUCAGGGUUUAGGGUUUACAUUUAGGGAUUAGAGUUGAUGUUUUAGGGUUUAGAUUUGAAGGUUUAUGGUUUUAGGGUUUAGGGUUUGAAUUUCAGAAAAAUAUCGGGUUUAAGGUUAAGGGUUUAUGUUUAAGGUUUAUGUUUAGGGCUUAGAGUUGAUGUUUUAGGGUUUAGAUUUGAUGGUUUAGAGUUUAGGGUUUAGAGUUGAUGUUUUGGGGUUUAGGGUUUAGAGUUGAUGUUUCAUGAUUUAGGGUGUAGAGUUGAUAAUUUUGGUUUUAAAGUUGAUGUUUUAAGUUUAGGGUUUACGGGUUUAGAGUUGAUGUUUUAGGGUUUAGAUUUGAAGAUUUAGGGUUUAGAGUUUAGAAUUGAUGUUUCGGAGUUUAGGGUUUAGAGUUGAUAUUUCAUGGCUUAGGAUUUAGAGAUUAGAGUUGAUGUUUCAUGGUUUAGAUUAGUUAACCAUAUGUUUUUUUUGUCAAAGUUAAUCAAAAAGGUUAUAAUUGUCUUUUAUCCUUCAUUAAAAUUGAAGGUAAAAAUGAUUAGUGUAAACAUGAAAAGUGGUACUUUGAAAAUGAUAUUUUUGGCAAUUUCCCUAUAUAUUAAGACAAAUAAUUUAACUACAAUUUGGUCGAUAGUGAAAGAAGCAUUAAAAAAAAGAAUAUUUUAACUUCCAAAAAAUUAGAUAUUUCAGUUGUGGUAAAUACUCAAUUAUAAGGUGCUCACGUCAAUUUGCAUCUGUAUGUGUAUGUAAAACUAUAUAAAGAUGGUUGAUAAAUAUAUGAGAAAAUUACAUGUUUACCACUUUCAUGCUACUACUUUUCAUUUUUACCAUUAAAUGAACAUUUUCAAAAAUAUCUUCUUCAUUAAGUGGCAAAAGACUUUUAUGUCUCUUGUUCUUUAUAUAUAUAAUAAAUAAAUAUUCAAAUAAAUAAAAAUAUAAAAAAAUAAAAAAUAUUUUUUUAAAAUUUUUUUUAGAAUUAUACUAUUUCGAAAUUCAAACCUUAAACCCUAAACCAUCAAUCAUAAACUUUUUUUUUUUGAAAUAUGAACCCUAAACCCUCAACCAUCAAUCCUAAACACUUUUUUUUUUAAAUACGAACCCUAAACCCAGAAACAUCAACUCUAAACCCUAAACCACGAAACAUCAAGUCUAAACCCUAAACCUUCAACUCUAAACCCUAAAAUAUCAACUCUAAACCCUAAACCCUAAAAUUCAACUCUAAACCCUAAAACAUCAACUCUAAACCCUAAACCAUCAACACA
RNAcentral lists this long non-coding RNA (1975 nucleotides) under Brassica napus (rape). Its description in RNAcentral is "long non-coding RNA (BNAP_LNC006292)". The record is from RNAcentral. Lineage: Eukaryota; Viridiplantae; Streptophyta; Magnoliopsida; Brassicales; Brassicaceae.